RNAcentral lists this ribosomal RNA (766 nucleotides) under Micrococcus luteus. RNAcentral's name for it is "bacterial SSU rRNA". It matches the Rfam family "Bacterial small subunit ribosomal RNA". The record is from RNAcentral. Lineage: Bacteria; Bacillati; Actinomycetota; Actinomycetes; Micrococcales; Micrococcaceae.
GGGUAGUACACGUGAGUACCUGCCCUAACUCUGGAUUAGCCUGGAAACUGGGUCUAAUACCGAAUAGGAGCGUCCACCGCAUGGUGGGUGUGGGAAAGAUUAAUCGGUUUUGGAUGAACUCGCGGCCUAUCAGCUUGUGGGUGAGGUAAUGGCUCACCAAGGCGACGACGGGUAGCCGGCCUGAGAGGGUGACCGGCCACACUGGGACUGAGACACGGCCCAGACUCCUACGGGAGGCAGCAGUGGGGAAUAUUGCACAAUGGGCGCAAGCCUGAUGCAGCGACGCCGCGUGAGGGAUGACGGCCUUCGGGUUGUAAACCUCUUUCAGUAGGGAAGAAGCGAAAGUGACGGUACCUGCAGAAGAAGCACCGGCUAACUACGUGCCAGCAGCCGCGGUAAUACGUAGGGUGCGAGCGUUAUCCGGAAUUAUUGGGCGUAAAGAGCUCGUAGGCGGUUUGUCGCGUCUGUCGUGAAAGUCCGGGGCUUAACCCCGGAUCUGCGGUGGGUACGGGCAGACUAGAGUGCAGUAGGGGAGACUGGAAUUCCUGGUGUAGCGGUGGAAUGCGCAGAUAUCAGGAGGAACACCGAUGGCGAAGGCAGGUCUCUGGGCUGUAACUGACGCUGAGGAGCGAAAGCAUGGGGAGCGAACAGGAUUAGAUACCCUGGUAGUCCAUGCCGUAAACGUUGGGCACUAGGUGUGGGGACCAUUCCACGGUUUCCGUGCCGCNGACGUCACGCCAUUCGCCUGUCCUAGCCUUCUAUCGUG